AGCUGCCAGGGCUGCGUGUGAUUAGUCAGCCCUGAUGCUGAGCUCUGCAGAUUAAUGUGUUCCUCUCCCCCCAUUACAUCCCUUCUCCACGAGGCAGUCUAUCUCUUGCAUCAGUAAUGACCAGCUGCAGAGCCUCAGGGUUUUCUCUAGCUACUUUUAACUGAUCUAGAACUUAUUUUUUCCAUGCUCUGCCUUUUCCUUGAUUGGUAAAUUCCCCAAUGUCUUUAAUCAAGCUGUGUUGAGCCUAGCAGUUCUGGCAAGUUUUCUUUUGUUUUAAUAAAAGGCAUUUAAUAAAAGCUGGGAGAAAUGUUUCAAGUAAACAGACUUUGGAAAAAUUCACUGAAGAGGGAAUAUCAGAGCUUGAUAUGAGUUUGGUCAGAUGGAACCAUCAGGAAAUUUGACCUGAAUUCAGGGAUAGCUUCUGGACAAGAGAAAAUGCAUUUCUUGGAAUGCCUGUCAGGCAGCACCAGAACUGGCCAGGACAAUGCUCCAGCUCCUCUUGGGAGCUGCUGUGGUGGAUGUGGCCCUGCAGAGAUCCCUGCUGGCUCAAGAGGAGGAGGAGGGGAUAUCCUGAAUAAUUGAACUGAGGGCUCCCCUGGAGCAGAACCUGGGCAGGCUGUGGAGCUCUGGCAAGCUCUCCUGGCUCACAAGAGCACAGCAGGAUUUGGCCCAUUUUUUGUCUUCCUCUGGUGUUUCUACAAUGUAAGAAACAUUGUUCUCCGAGCUGCUCUGAAUCUGUGGAGUUAAGAAGAUGUUGCAAAUAAGUCUUAUUUCCCUGUACAGCAUGGAACUAAUGCUCAACAUCCAGUUGCCAGAGAACAAAGUUCUUCCUCAGGAAUAAUGGACAAUGGAGAAGCCAAAAAUACAAUUAAAAACUAUUUGGCAAUAUACCAUAUUUUUACUUUGUCUCAAGCCUUCAUCCUAUGAUUGCCUUGAUAGAGGUGUAGAGCACAGAAUAAAAUGAUGGAAUGGGAAAGGAGCA
Molecule: long non-coding RNA, 982 nt
Filed under: Cyanistes caeruleus (blue tit)
Lineage: Eukaryota; Metazoa; Chordata; Aves; Passeriformes; Paridae
Description: lncRNA (ENSCCEG00000017560.1)
Source: RNAcentral